Vicugna pacos (alpaca) is the source of this 1631-nucleotide non-coding RNA. The record is from RefSeq and is a predicted model, not a curated record. NCBI's taxonomy places the organism in Eukaryota, Metazoa, Chordata, Mammalia, Artiodactyla, Camelidae.
CUAAACGACGCUUUUCCGAUAUAUAAGCCUCAAAGCUAAACCCAGUGGCUUCUGUCUCCAAACCCACAAUUUCCAGUCUGGAAGCUUCUUCGGUCCUUCAUGCCCUAAAGGUGAAAUGUGUAAUAAUUACAACUUCUGAAAAGGACUGGCCAGGAUUCUGGCCUAAGGUGUAGAAAAUCAUGAAACCGAAGACUGGACCAACCAGCACGGGCCACAACAGCUCGUCUGAUCCGAAGGCAAGGGGGAGGUCCCUUGGGAGCAUUUGCCCCUGCUGUGGCUCUGUGCUCUUUCCGUGAAAUAAGUUUAUAUUUCCAACGAGAGGGUUUUCUGCCCCCGUCCCACCACUUUUCUGUACAUAGAUGGUAAAUCGUGGAGGCCCUUUCUCGUCUCCCCAACCCCUGGCUGGUGGGGCUGUAUUUGAACAAAAUAAAUUACAAACAAAAACUAAGCACAGUGUGUAACUUUAGAAGGCACGUGCUUCAUUCCUGCGGGUUCAGAUGAGACUCGAGUCACAGACUCCUCUCAGAAAGGCUCAUGCAGGUCACGCCCCUGACAGAGUCCCCCGGCCCCUGGUUCUCGUCCUCAUCGCUCCCCUCCACCAGUGGCCGCUUUCCAAGGCUAACUCUAGUUGCACAGAGAGAAAUGCUAGUCCUGUGCUGUCCUUUCCUUCUUGGGACGUUUUUCACUAAGCCUGCUGUCAAGGCUGAGUGUGUGUGGAGUUUGAAAACGCCCUUCUUCAAAAGUGCACCUUAUUGUUUUUUAAUUAAAUGGCACCUUUAACUGAUGUUCAAAACCCAAGAAGUCUCAUUGUAUUAAAUAAAAAAUAGAUCAAAAAAAGGUGAAGGGGUGAGGAGAUUGAGAUCCAGAACUGAAACUUCUAACAAAGAGGUUCAUUCACUCUUUCUUGUCAGAUCAGCUUCCUGGUUGGAGCAGAGCAUGGAGGAGCCGAUUCGUGAUGCAACCCCUCUUCACCAGCUCAGCGGGACGGAACUCGCCUGUGCCCCACGUGGAUGCCCUUAGCACUGUCCUAUCGACAGAUUUUAAAACUACCUCAACACAAGCACCCAUGGGUUGAUUGAAAUCCUCCAUGUUUAUCAUUCUUUUGCCUGAAGCUCUGUUCAGGCAAAGGAAAAUGAAGAGGUUUUCUACAGAAAGACCCUCUCUACUCCAAAUGAUUGUAAUGCAUUUGUCAAAUAAGAGAAGCGGGGCAACCUGGAAGUAAUGAGAGUGGGCUUGGUACCACCUGGUCACCUCCGUGAGGGCCCAGCACGGUGCAACACUCCUUCCUGCACCAGCCGGGCAGGUACUGGUACCCGUGAUGGGCUGUCACUAUAGGAACCUUGGCUGGGAGCCUCAACAGAACACCCUUGAGCCGACUGUGCCCCAGAAGGAACUGCUUUCCCUCAGCAACCAGAACAUGAGGUCACUCCUUGGCUACGGAGCCCAGGUAACAAACAAAGGCCCAGGAAAUCUCAGUUACGAGUCUUUCUUACUAUGUUUUGGUUUGAGGUCAAGUGGAGGCCUCAGGCUUGUGAGUCAGGUGUCAUUUUUCCUUCUGCAAACUGAAUUCUCUUGAAAAGCAUGUAAGAAAGAAGAAAGAAAGGGAGGGAGGGAGUGAAAACAAAGACAAA